UACAGAGGUCCCAAGCGUUGUUCGGAUUCACUGGGCGUAAAGGGUGCGUAGGCGGCGCGGUAAGUCGGGUGUGAAAUCUCGGAGCUUAACUCCGAAACUGCAUUCGAUACUGCGGUGCUUGAGGACUGGAGAGGAGACUGGAAUUCAUGGUGUAGCGGUGAAAUGCGUAGAGAUCAUGAGGAAGACCAGUGGCGAAGGCGGGUCUCUGGACAGUUCCUGACACUGAGGCACGAAGGCCAGGGGAGCGAACGGG
Molecule: ribosomal RNA, 253 nt
Filed under: uncultured bacterium
Lineage: Bacteria
Description: partial 16S ribosomal RNA
Rfam family: Bacterial small subunit ribosomal RNA
Source: RNAcentral